Musca domestica (house fly) is the source of this 432-nucleotide long non-coding RNA. RefSeq lists it as uncharacterized. NCBI's taxonomy places the organism in Eukaryota, Metazoa, Arthropoda, Insecta, Diptera, Muscidae. The transcript is spliced from 2 exons. The record is from RefSeq and is a predicted model, not a curated record.
GCUCUGAGUAAUGAACAAGAUACAAAACACUUGUACUAAGGUGGCAUUUGAAUCAGUCACAAGUCAUGUUCCGUGCGGUUUAAAUAGUCUCGUACAUAAACUCAAGUGAUCGGUUUAAAUUAAAUUCAAAUUAAGUGCCUAAAAACUUAUGGCUUGAAAUUAGUAAGACAACAGUUACGGAUAUUCAGGUACAUGGAAUUCUUGGAUGCAUCGCGAAAAUGAUAAAUACAUGAGAUUGAUGUUGGCAUAAAAUAGAACAAACUCCCAUCCUAUUAAUCUAUUCAUGACGGUGACAUUUAUCGAAUAUGAAAUAAUGGAUCAAUAACACCAAUAUAACAAGAACAAACAAAGCUAAUAAAAUAUAAAAUGUAUUUUUAAUUACUAUUGGCCAAGGUAUUGACAACAAAAUAAAUAUAAAAUAUUAUUUUUGAA